This 466-nucleotide ribosomal RNA is filed under the name uncultured bacterium. RNAcentral describes it as "partial 16S ribosomal RNA". It matches the Rfam family "Bacterial small subunit ribosomal RNA", at positions 28 to 507 of the family's 1533-position model. The record is from RNAcentral.
GAUGAACGCUGGCGGCGUGCUUAACACAUGCCAGUCGAGCGAUGAAGCCCAGCUUGCUGGGUGGAUUAGUGGCGAACGGGUGAGUAACACGUGAGUAACCUGCCCUUGACUCUGGGAUAAGCCUGGGAAACUGGGUCUAAUACUGGAUAUGACUUCUCAUCGCAUGGUGGGGGGUGGAAAGAUUUAUUGGUCUUGGAUGGACUCGCGGCCUAUCAGCUUGUUGGUGAGGUAAUGGCUCACCAAGGCGACGACGGGUAGCCGGCCUGAGAGGGUGACCGGCCACACUGGGACUGAGACACGGCCCAGACUCCUACGGGAGGCAGCAGUGGGGAAUAUUGCACAAUGGGCGCAAGCCUGAUGCAGCGACGCCGCGUGAGGGAUGACGGCCUUCGGGUUGUAAACCUCUUUCAGUAGGGAAGAAGCGAGAGUGACGGUACCUGCAGAAGAAGCGCCGGCUAACUACGUG